Long non-coding RNA from Triticum aestivum (bread wheat), 814 nucleotides. RefSeq lists it as uncharacterized. The record is from RefSeq and is a predicted model, not a curated record. The transcript is spliced from 3 exons. Lineage: Eukaryota; Viridiplantae; Streptophyta; Magnoliopsida; Poales; Poaceae.
UUCACGCAGCCAGGAUUGCCCCUCGCCGCCGAGAGACACAUCCAGAGUUCCAGACCCAGUCAUGGAUGCAUCGAGCCAGCCGCUCGCUUCCUUUCACGACCUCCCGAUUUCGCCGUCUCGCUCGCUCGUUGCUCCCCGUCCACGCCUAUGUAGCCGAUCGUUUGGGGCUCGGCGGCGGCCAUGCCACCUCAACUGUGCAGUCGUGCCCCUGCAAGCCGGCGUCACCGCCCCAUCCGCACAUCGGCGCUCGGCCAAGAGGCAGGAGCUAGCCAACAACCAUCUAUGUUGAUUUGAGAAGCCAUGAAAUUGAGGUACGCGGAAGAUGAACAAACCCGAGAACUGAUGAUCCAACGAUGACUCGGAGUUUGAGCAUCACAUAGCCGUCAGCUGUGGUUGCUUGUAGGCGGAUGUGUCUCAGACCUAAGUUGUUGCCGCUGGACAUACAUGCAUCCUCGCUUGGAGGCAGUAGUGCUGGGAGAUAUGCAUGUGCAAGGUGAAGAAGUGGACGAAGGCCGAAGAAGCAAUAUGCUGAUCGAGCGCUGCACUUCAGCGGGUGCCUCGCUGACGAUGGGGAAGGAAGGAUCAGAAGUGACGGCUAUAGCGCUAGGAAAUUGGAAACCCUAGCAAUUGACCUUCUCUAUAAAACAUGUGUGGCAGGCUGGCAGGGGACGUGGAACCUGCUUCAGGGAAGAUGUUUUAUGCAAAUCAAAUCAAAAUAACUGCAAACAAAACUCCCCCGGGGUUGUUGUUAGUUGGAGGCACUUGUUGUUUCAAGCAAGCCAUUGAUUGAUGCUUAUUGGUGGAGGGGGAGUAU